GAUGAACGCUGGCGGCGUGCUUAACACAUGCAAGUCGAACGGAAAGGCUCCUGCUUGCAGGGGUACUCGAGUGGCGAACGGGUGAGUAACACGUGGGUGAUCUGCCCUGCACUUCGGGAUAAGCCUAGGAAACUGGGUCUAAUACCGGAUAGGACGAUGGUUUGGAUGCCAUUGUGGAAAGUUUUUUCGGUGUGGGAUGAGCUCGCGGCCUAUCAGCUUGUUGGUGGGGUAAUGGCCUACCAAGGCGUCGACGGGUAGCCGGCCUGAGAGGGUGUACGGCCACAUUGGGACCGAGAUACGGCCCAGACUCCUACGGGAGGCAGCAGUGGGGAAUAUUGCACAAUGGGCGCAAGCCUGAUGCAGCGACGCCGCGUGGGGGAUGACGGCCUUCGGGUUGUAAACUCCUUUCGCUAGGGACGAAGCGCAAGUGACGGUACCUGGAGAAGAAGCACCGGCUAACUACGU
Molecule: ribosomal RNA, 465 nt
Filed under: uncultured bacterium
Lineage: Bacteria
Description: partial 16S ribosomal RNA
Rfam family: Bacterial small subunit ribosomal RNA
Source: RNAcentral